GACGAACGCUGGCGGCGUGCCUAAUACAUGCAAGUUGAGCGCUGAAGGUUGGUACUUGUACCGACUGGAUGAGCAGCGAACGGGUGAGUAACGCGUGGGGAAUCUGCCUUUGAGCGGGGGACAACAUUAGGAAACGAAUGCUAAUACCGCAUAAAAACUUUAAACACAAGUUUUAAGUUUGAAAGAUGCAAUUGCAUCACUCAAAGAUGAUCCCGCGUUGUAUUAGCUAGUUGGUGAGGUAAAGGCUCACCAAGGCGAUGAUACAUAGCCGACCUGAGAGGGUGGUCGGCCACAUUGUGACUGAGACUCGGCCCAAACUCCGACGGGAGGCAGCAGUAGGGAAUCUUCGGCGAUGGACGAAAGUCUGACCGAGCAACGCCGCGUGAGUGAAGAAGGUUUUCGGAUCGUAAAACUCUGUUGGUAGAGAAGAACGUUAGUGAGAGUGGAAAGCUCAUCAAGUGACGGUAACGACCCAGAAAGGGACGGCUAACUACGU
RNAcentral lists this ribosomal RNA (496 nucleotides) under uncultured bacterium. RNAcentral's name for it is "partial 16S ribosomal RNA". It matches the Rfam family "Bacterial small subunit ribosomal RNA", at positions 28 to 506 of the family's 1533-position model. The record is from RNAcentral.